CGUCGACAUCGGACGCUUCGGCACACUCGUGCCUUAUGUGCCACCGAAGCCCCGAAGUGGUCUGGCAUAUACCUUCACAUGUAAGUAAACGAAUGUAUCUCAUUGUUGUGAAUAUCACGCGAGUAGGCAGCUCUUGUGGUACAUCACAAUCGUUUGAGAAGCGUCACAGCAGAGCAUUUUUCUGCAUGCGGAGCGGUGUUUUUAUUUGCAGGUUUCCCUUCAGUAGGAAAUUGCUGGACAGGCGGAGCAGCGCACCGGAAUUGUACUGGCGAAGCCAUAAGCAACUCAAAGAACCUGUUUAAUUGUUGCACUUUGAACAAUCAUGCUUCUACAAAGGCCACAGCAGAAAAACAGCCUGAUGCCGAGUAUUUCUGUGCCACGAAGUAAUCAAGAGACAAUGCCUACGCCUAGCCACAGCAGCUCCCUCAUACAGACUCCGCAAGCCAAGAGGCCGUGGAGGCAAAUGCAGGCAGCCAGCACACCUUGAACAGCUACCUUGACUGCGGGUGUGUCACCCUAGUCGCCAAGGGAACAUUUGAGGGAAAGUGACAGGCAAUGUGAACAGCCACUUCUCCAUGUAAACAAUACUCUUUCUCUCGGAUGACUCCUACGCCUCGCCACGCCAGCACACUUGUGCACAAAGAUGCCGCAGAGGCACGUGCAGGUCAGAGGCAAGAAGCAGUGGCACUGGUGUCGACAUUUACCCAAUUUCUUUUUCUUACACUGAGGCAGCCAGCACACCUCGAACAGCCACCUUGACUGCGGGUGUGUCAGUAGAUUCCUGUUGUACAUAUGCUCAUAAUAAACUUCAGUAAACUAGAACUUCAUAAUAAACUUGAAGGCAAAUGGGACAUUGAUGCAUUGUAUUUUUGAACAUUUAUUGUACACAUACAAUAUAUGUUAUACUUUGCAGUGCUACAGAGCGUAUUUUGAAGCUUCCCCCUAUAUUUUGCACCUUUAAUUACGUAUGUGUUGUGCGGCCCUCAAUGCAGUUCAUGUUGUAGCAGCUGCUUUGUCCGUGUAUCGCACAUUGGCUAAAGCUCAUGAUAUCCACAUACUCCUCUCACAUAUGCAAA
Long non-coding RNA from Dermacentor albipictus, 1076 nucleotides. RefSeq lists it as uncharacterized. NCBI's taxonomy places the organism in Eukaryota, Metazoa, Arthropoda, Arachnida, Ixodida, Ixodidae. The record is from RefSeq and is a predicted model, not a curated record.